GAUCCUGGCUCAGAAUCAACGCUGGCGGCGCGCUUAACACAUGCAAGUCGCACGAGAAAGGGAGCAAUCCCAAGUAAAGUGGCGCACGGGUGAGUAACACGUGGACAUCUACCUUUUAGUGGGGAAUACCCCCGGGAAACUGGGGACAAUACCGCAUAAGCUCGUAAGAAGCAAUGCGCUGAAAGAGGAGUCCGCGGCCGAUUAUGCUAGAUGGCGGGGUAAUGGCCCACCAUGGCGAAGAUCGGUAGCCGGCCUGAGAGGGCACACGGCCACACUGGCACUGAAACACGGGCCAGACUCCUACGGGAGGCAGCAGUGGGGAAUCUUGCACAAUGGAGGAAACUCUGAUGCAGCGACGCCGCGUGAGCGAUGAAACCCUUCGGGGUGUAAAGCUCUUUCGACAGGAACGAUAAUGACGGUACCUGAAGAAGAAGCUGCGGCUAACUACGUGCCAGCAGCCGCGGUAAUACGUAGGCAGCAAGCGUUGUUCGGAAUUACUGGGCGUAAAGAGUGUGUAGGCUGUGCUCUAAGUCUGGUGUGAAAUCUCCCGGCUUAACUGGGAGGGUGCGCCGGAAACUGGGGUACUAGAGUAUGGGAGAGGCAAGCGGAAUUCCUGGUGUAGCGGUGAAAUGCGUAGAUAUCAGGAGGAACACCUGUGGUGUAGACAGCUUGCUGGACCAUUACUGACGCUGAGACACGAAAGCGUGGGUAGCAAACAGGAUUAGAUACCCUGGUAGUCCACGCCCUAAACGAUGCAUACUUGGUGUGAGCCAUUCAUUUGGUUCGUGCCGGAGCUAACGCGUUAAGUAUGCCGCCUGGGGAGUACGGUCGCAAGGCUGAAACUCAAAGGAAUUGACGGGGGCCCGCACAAGCGGUGGAGCAUGUGGUUC
This 890-nucleotide ribosomal RNA is filed under the name uncultured bacterium. Its description in RNAcentral is "bacterial SSU rRNA". It matches the Rfam family "Bacterial small subunit ribosomal RNA", at positions 15 to 947 of the family's 1533-position model. The record is from RNAcentral.